Molecule: ribosomal RNA, 270 nt
Filed under: uncultured archaeon
Lineage: Archaea
Description: partial 16S ribosomal RNA
Rfam family: Archaeal small subunit ribosomal RNA
Source: RNAcentral
CUGCAGCCCGAGUGGUGAUCGAUUUUAUUGAGCCUAAAGCGUCCGUAGCCGGCCCGGUAAAUCUCUGGGUAAAUCGAUGGGCUCAACUCAUCGAAUUCCGGAGAGACUGCUAGACUUGGGACCGGGAGAGGUCAGAGGUACUUCAGGGGUAGGGGCUAAAUCCUGUAAUCCUUGAAGGACCACCAGUGGCGAAGGCGUCUGACUAGAACGGAUCCGACGGUAAGGGACGAAACCCUGGGGCGCAAACCGGAUUAGAUACCCGAGUAGUCC